AUGGAAUCUGAAGUUGAGGUGAAUACUGUUAUACCAUUGCAGACCCAUGACAUGCAGUCUGAUGCAGAAUCAACUACUCGAGUUAAUCCACGUCUCGAUAUAGGGUUUUUCACACCAACAAAAUCCACAAGCAUCCCCACAUGUGAUUCAUUCUACACACCAGAUUGUGAUGAAUCCAUAACUCCAACUAUUGGGAUGUAUUUUUCUGAUGUGAACACAGCAAAGGGGUUCUAUGAGGUAUAUGCACACCAUGUUGGGUUUUCAGUUCGUGUGGGCCAACACAAGUCAUCCAAUGGUGUCAUGACGCACAAGCAAUUCAUGUGCGCGAAAGAAGGUUUCCGUGAGGAGAAGAUAGGUAAUAUAAUUUCCGAACCUGCCACCAAAAGAAGACGUGAAAGAAAAAUUACUAGGUGUGGGUGCGGGGCAAAAAUUGCAAUCAAGUGUACAACCGAUGGUCGGUAUAUUGUCACCGUCUUUGAGAAAGUGCAUAACCAUGCACUUGUUUCCCCUAGUAAGCAGCAGUUCAUUAGGUCAAAUAGGAAAGUCAGCUGUAAGGCACAGAGUACAUUGUUCAAUUGCCAUAGUGCUUGCAUUGGGACUUCAGCGGCAUACCGGUUCCUUCGUGUUGGUUUGGGGGGUUUCCAAAAUGCCGGAUGCACAAAAAAAGAUCUCCAAAAUUUCCAUAGAACCCUCAGAUGCCACAUAAAGUCUUCUGAUGCUCAAAUGUUUAUCGACCAGCUAGGCAGAAAGAAUCUUGCAAAUCCCGGGUUUUAUUUUGACUAUGUUAUUGAUGACAAGGGAAUGUUGGUUCAUGUGUUUUGUGCGAGAUGCUACUAG
Molecule: ribosomal RNA, 837 nt
Filed under: Triticum aestivum (bread wheat)
Lineage: Eukaryota; Viridiplantae; Streptophyta; Magnoliopsida; Poales; Poaceae
Description: partial small subunit ribosomal RNA
Source: RNAcentral